CUCAGUUCGGAUCGGAGUCUGCAACCCGACUCCGUGAAGCUGGAUUCGCUAGUAAUCGCGAAUCAGAAUGUCGCGGUGAAUACGUUCCCGGGUCUUGUACACACCGCCCGUCACACCAUGGGAGUCGGAAAUGCCCGAAGUCAGUGACCUAACCGAAAGGGAGGAGCUGCCGAAGGUGGAGCCGGUAACUGGGGUGAAGUCGUAACAAGGUAAC
RNAcentral lists this ribosomal RNA (214 nucleotides) under uncultured bacterium. RNAcentral's name for it is "partial 16S ribosomal RNA". It matches the Rfam family "Bacterial small subunit ribosomal RNA", at positions 1287 to 1500 of the family's 1533-position model. The record is from RNAcentral.